GACGAACGCUGGCGGCGUGCUUAACACAUGCAAGUCGAACGGAAAGGCCCUGCUUUUGUGGGGUGCUCGAGUGGCGAACGGGUGAGUAACACGUGAGUAACCUGCCCUUGACUUUGGGAUAACUUCAGGAAACUGGGGCUAAUACCGGAUAGGAGCUCCUGCUGCAUGGUGGGGGUUGGAAAGUUUCGGCGGUUGGGGAUGGACUCGCGGCUUAUCAGCUUGUUGGUGGGGUAGUGGCUUACCAAGGCUUUGACGGGUAGCCGGCCUGAGAGGGUGACCGGCCACAUUGGGACUGAGAUACGGCCCAGACUCCUACGGGAGGCAGCAGUGGGGAAUAUUGCACAAUGAGCGGAAGCCUGAUGCAGCAACGCCGCGUGCGGGAUGACGGCCUUCGGGUUGUAAACCGCUUUCGCCUGUGACGAAGCGUGAGUGACGGUAAUGGGUAAAGAAGCACCGGCUAACUACGU
RNAcentral lists this ribosomal RNA (467 nucleotides) under uncultured bacterium. RNAcentral's name for it is "partial 16S ribosomal RNA". It matches the Rfam family "Bacterial small subunit ribosomal RNA", at positions 28 to 506 of the family's 1533-position model. The record is from RNAcentral.